This 441-nucleotide ribosomal RNA is filed under the name Salmonella enterica subsp. enterica serovar Kentucky. Its description in RNAcentral is "partial 23S ribosomal RNA". It matches the Rfam family "Bacterial large subunit ribosomal RNA", at positions 813 to 1251 of the family's 2925-position model. The record is from RNAcentral. Lineage: Bacteria; Pseudomonadati; Pseudomonadota; Gammaproteobacteria; Enterobacterales; Enterobacteriaceae.
GGCUGGGGGUGAAAGGCCAAUCAAACCGGGAGAUAGCUGGUUCUCCCCGAAAGCUAUUUAGGUAGCGCCUCGUGAAUUCAUCUCCGGGGGUAGAGCACUGUUUCGGCUAGGGGGCCAUCCCGGCUUACCAACCCGAUGCAAACUGCGAAUACCGGAGAAUGUUAUCACGGGAGACACACGGCGGGUGCUAACGUCCGUCGUGAAGAGGGAAACAACCCAGACCGCCAGCUAAGGUCCCAAAGUCAUGGUUAAGUGGGAAACGAUGUGGGAAGGCCCAGACAGCCAGGAUGUUGGCUUAGAAGCAGCCAUCAUUUAAAGAAAGCGUAAUAGCUCACUGGUCGAGUCGGCCUGCGCGGAAGAUGUAACGGGGCUAAACCAUGCACCGAAGCUGCGGCAGCGACGCUGAUGCGUUGUUGGGUAGGGGAGCGUUCUGUAAGCCUG